This is a long non-coding RNA of Glycine soja, 408 nucleotides long. RefSeq lists it as uncharacterized. The record is from RefSeq and is a predicted model, not a curated record. Lineage: Eukaryota; Viridiplantae; Streptophyta; Magnoliopsida; Fabales; Fabaceae. The transcript is spliced from 2 exons.
GUAUGUUUCUUCAUAGCUUCAUAUCAACCCAUUAGGCAGGAUUAAAUCGAAGCAAGGAGUAUAUUGCUCUAAAAUCAAAUUAAGAUGAAGGCCAUCUUUUCAUUUCUGCUAGUCCUACUUGUUCUUUCCAUUGGAAUUGAAAAUGAAGGACCGCUGAAAGUAAUAGAAGCAAAAAUUUGUGACGAAGAAUUGUACAACUAUUGUGACGAAAGUUGUUUCACUGAUAUUUGUGCCAAGAAAUAUGGAAGUACAUCAAUUCCUUUAUGCAAUGAAUUGAAUCACUGCAUAUGUCGUUACCGUUGCUAGGUCUUUGACCUUCUUCAACAUAAUCCUUAUGAAUGUUAGUUUAAGAAGUACUAUGUAGUGGUAGAUUCAAAGAAAAUAAAACUACACUUUUAUUAUAUCUAC